This 468-nucleotide ribosomal RNA is filed under the name uncultured bacterium. RNAcentral describes it as "SSU rRNA". It matches the Rfam family "Bacterial small subunit ribosomal RNA", at positions 26 to 518 of the family's 1533-position model. The record is from RNAcentral.
AGGACUAACGCUGGCGGCGUGCCUAACACAUGCAAGUCGAACGAGGGGUAGCAAUACCCCUAGUGGCAGACGGGUGAGUAACACGUAGUCAACCUACCUCUUAAUGGGGGAUAACUAGCCGAAAGGUUAGCUAAUACCGCAUACGAUCGUCGAGUGGCAUCACACGACGAUGAAAGGAGCAAUCCGUUGAGAGAGGGGACUGCGUCCCAUUAGUUAGUUGGUGGGGUAAUGGCCUACCAAGACUCCGAUGGGUAGCUGGCUUGAGAGAGCGACCAGCCACACUGGAACUGAGACACGGUCCAGACUCCUACGGGAGGCAGCAGUGAGGAAUUUUCCGCAAUGGGGGAAACCCUGACGGAGCGACGCCGCGUGUGGGAAGAAGGCCUUCGGGUCGUAACCACUGUCGAGGGGGACGAUAUUGACGGUACCCCUGGAGGAAGCCCCGGCUAACUACGUGUCAGCAGCCGC